UACGUAGGGACCAAGCGUUGUUCGGAUUUACUGGGCGUAAAGGGCGCGUAGGCGGCGCGGUAAGUCACUUGUGAAAUCUCUGAGCUUAACUCAGAACGGCCAAGUGAUACUGCAGUGCUAGAGUGUGGAAGGGGCAAUCGGAAUUCUUGGUGUAGCGGUGAAAUGCGUAGAUAUCAAGAGGAACACCUGAGGUGAAGGCGGGUUGCUGGGCCAACACUGACGCUGAGGCGCGAAAGCCAGGGGAGCAAACGGG
RNAcentral lists this ribosomal RNA (253 nucleotides) under uncultured bacterium. RNAcentral describes it as "partial 16S ribosomal RNA". It matches the Rfam family "Bacterial small subunit ribosomal RNA", at positions 524 to 776 of the family's 1533-position model. The record is from RNAcentral.